CUUGGUCAUUUAGAGGAGUAAAAGUCGUAACAAGGUCUCCGUUGGUGAACCAGCGGAGGGAUCAUUACCGAGUUUACAACUCCCAAACCCCUGUGAACAUACCAAUUGUUGCCUCGGCGGAUCAGCCCGCUCCCGGUAAAACGGAACGGCCCGCCAGAGGACCCCUAAACUCUGUUUCUAUAUGUAACUUCUGAGUAAAACCAUAAAUAAAUCAAAACUUUCAACAACGGAUCUCUUGGUUCUGGCAUCGAUGAAGAACGCAGCAAAAUGCGAUAAGUAAUGUGAAUUGCAGAAUUCAGUGAAUCAUCGAAUCUUUGAACGCACAUUGCGCCCGCCAGUAUUCUGGCGGGCAUGCCUGUUCGAGCGUCAUUUCAACCCUCAAGCCCUCGGGUUUGGUGUUGGGGAUCGGGCUGUACUCCAGCCCGGCCCCGAAAUCUAGUGGCGGUCUCGCUGCAGCCUCCAUUGCGUAGUAGCUAACACCUCGCAACUGGAACGCGGCGCGGCCAAGCCGUUAAACCCCCAACUUCUGAAUGUUGACCUCGGAUCAGGUAGGAAUACCCGCUGAACUUAAGCAUAUCAAUAAGCGGAGGA
RNAcentral lists this ribosomal RNA (591 nucleotides) under uncultured fungus. RNAcentral describes it as "eukaryotic LSU rRNA". The stretch from base 216 to 369 matches the Rfam family "5.8S ribosomal RNA". The record is from RNAcentral. Lineage: Eukaryota; Fungi.